GGGGGGGGGGGGGGGGGGGGGGGGGGGGGGGGGGGGGGGGGGGGGGGGGGGGGGGGGGGGGGGGGGGGGGGGGGGGGGGGGGGGGGGGGGGGGGGGGGGGGGGGGGGGGGAGGGAGGAGCGGGAGGGAGGGACCGGAACCGCCGCUGCUCCCAGGCUCGUUCUGGCUCUGCUCCGGGUCCCGGGUUUCCUUUUAUCUCCCUUUCUCUCACUCUCGGAGCUGAUAGGAGCCUGCGCUCCGGCUGCGGAGGCGUUCAGUGCCCUCUGCCCGCGUCGGCCCCAGGGCUGUGAGGGUGCGGUGCCCGGAGAUGGCACACGGCCAUAACGGCUUAGAGAGGGGGAAAAAAAGCGGGAUUAAAACUUUCCUCCUCCGAGAAGAGAAGCAGGAGUGCAAAACGUUGGGAUAAUUAAAUGCUACUAAUCCACGGCACUUGUGUUGGAGAGGUUCUAGAAUGGUGCAGUAGAUGGCAGUGGCCUUGUCGUCCUUUUUCUGCAGAGAAGACUGGAGACUCAACUUCAGACAUCCAGAGCAGAAAGCUAUACCGUACUGAUAAUAAGACACCUCAACUGUUUGGGUUUAUUUCUGCACAAAGAUUCCUAUGGAUCAAUUAACAUUCUACACUGCCAAUAAGGGUAAUUUUGUAGCAAGAUGACUUUGCCAGUUUCAAGCUCUAUUUACAUGCACAUCAAAAAAUGACAGUACAGUUGCUCUAGGUUAAUUUGUCCUCUAAAAAUUAAUUUACUUGCCUCUCAUUUAAUCAGGAGGCAGAGUCAAAAAGGGAUAACUCUAACCACACAUAUAUUGUAUGAUGUCUGGUGUAUCACACAUAAUAAACUGACAGUACUGCAGAACACUAAAUUUCAUU
This 864-nucleotide long non-coding RNA is filed under the name Ficedula albicollis (Collared flycatcher). RNAcentral's name for it is "lncRNA (ENSFALG00000023609.1)". Lineage: Eukaryota; Metazoa; Chordata; Aves; Passeriformes; Muscicapidae. The record is from RNAcentral.